This 253-nucleotide ribosomal RNA is filed under the name uncultured bacterium. Its description in RNAcentral is "partial 16S ribosomal RNA". It matches the Rfam family "Bacterial small subunit ribosomal RNA", at positions 524 to 776 of the family's 1533-position model. The record is from RNAcentral.
GACAGAGGGUGCAAACGUUGUUCGGAAUUACUGGGCGUAAAGCGCGUGUAGGCGGCUAAGCAAGUCGGGCGUGAAAUCCCACGGCUCAACCGUGGAAGUGCACUCGAAACUGCAUAGCUAGAGUCCUGGAGAGGAAGGCGGAAUGCUUGGUGUAGAGGUGAAAUUCGUAGAUAUCAAGCGGAACACCGGUGGCGAAGGCGGCCUUCUGGACAGUGACUGACGCUGAGACGCGAAAGCGUGGGGAGCAAACAGG